UACGUAUGGUGCGAACGUUGUUCGGAAUCACUGGGCGUAAAGAGCACGUAGGCGGUUAAGUAAGUCCAUUGUGAAAUCCCCCGGCCUAACCGGGGAACUGCAUUGGAUACUACUUGACUUGAGUGCAGGAGGGGAGAGUGGAAUUCCAGGUGGAGCGGUGAAAUGCGUAGAUAUCUGGAGGAACGCCGGCGGCGAAAGCGACUCUCUGGUCUGUAACUGACGCUGAGGUGCGAAAGCUAGGGGAGCAAACGGG
RNAcentral lists this ribosomal RNA (253 nucleotides) under uncultured bacterium. RNAcentral's name for it is "partial 16S ribosomal RNA". It matches the Rfam family "Bacterial small subunit ribosomal RNA", at positions 524 to 776 of the family's 1533-position model. The record is from RNAcentral.